UAUCAAAAGGCAAUGAGAUCGUAGA
RNAcentral lists this non-coding RNA (25 nucleotides) under Cricetulus griseus (Chinese hamster). The record is from RNAcentral. Lineage: Eukaryota; Metazoa; Chordata; Mammalia; Rodentia; Cricetidae.